This 30-nucleotide non-coding RNA is filed under the name Rattus norvegicus (Norway rat). The record is from RNAcentral. Lineage: Eukaryota; Metazoa; Chordata; Mammalia; Rodentia; Muridae.
GGAAAUUUUACACUUGUCAGUGUUGGUACA